This 491-nucleotide ribosomal RNA is filed under the name uncultured bacterium. Its description in RNAcentral is "partial 16S ribosomal RNA". It matches the Rfam family "Bacterial small subunit ribosomal RNA", at positions 29 to 507 of the family's 1533-position model. The record is from RNAcentral.
AGUGAACGCUGGCGGAGGCCUAACACAUGCAAGUCGAACGGCAGCACAGUAAGAGCUUGCUCUUACGGGUGGCGCGUGGCGGACGGGUGAGGAAUACAUCGGAAUCUACUUUUUCGUGGGGGAUAACGUAGGGAAACUUACGCUAAUACCGCAUACGACCUACGGGUGAAAGCAGGGGAUCUUCGGCCCUUGCGCGAUUGAAUGGGCCGAUGUCGGAUUAGCUAGUUGGCGGGGUAAAGGCCCACCAAGGCGACGAUCCGUAGCUGGUCUGAGAGGAUGAUCAGCCACACUGGAACUGAGACACGGUCCAGACUCCUACGGGAGGCAGCAGUGGGGAAUAUUGGACAAUGGGCGCAAGCCUGAUCCAGCCAUACCGCGUGGGUGAAGAAGGCCUUCGGGUUGUAAAGCCCUUUUGUUGGGAAAGAAAAGCAGCAGGUUAAUACCCCGCUGUUCUGACGGUACCCAAAGAAUAAGCACCGGCUAACUUCGUG